UCCAGACUCCUACGGGAGGCAGCAGUGGGGAAUAUUGCGCAAUGGGCGAAAGCCUGAUGCAGCGACGCCGCGUGGGUGAAGGAGUAUUUCGGUAUGUAAAGCCCUCUCGGCAGGGAAGAAGAAAGACGGUACCUGACUAAGAAGCCCCGGCUAACUCCGUGCCAGCAGCCGCGGUAAUACGGAGGAUGCGAGCGUUAUCCGGAUUUAUUGGGUUUAAAGGGUGCGCAGGCGGCACGGCAAGCCGGCGGUCAAAUCGCGGGGCUCAACCCCGCCCAGCCGUCGGAACUGCCGGGCUAGAGUGGGCGAGAAGUGCGCGGAAUGCGUGGUGUAGCGGUGAAAUGCAUAGAUAUCACGCAGAACUCCGAUUGCGAAGGCAGCGCACCGGCGCCCUACUGACGCUCAGGCACGAAAGCGUGGGUAUCGAACAGGAUUAGAUACCCCAGUA
RNAcentral lists this ribosomal RNA (445 nucleotides) under uncultured bacterium. RNAcentral describes it as "partial 16S ribosomal RNA". It matches the Rfam family "Bacterial small subunit ribosomal RNA", at positions 330 to 792 of the family's 1533-position model. The record is from RNAcentral.